AGAAUGAACGCUGGCGGCAUGCCUAACACAUGCAAGUCGAACGAGACCUUCGGGUCUAGUGGCGCACGGGUGCGUAACGCGUGGGAAUCUGCCCUUAGGUACGGAAUAACUCAGGGAAACUUGUGCUAAUACCGUAUGAUGUCGAGAGACCAAAGAUUUAUCGCCUAGGGAUGAGCCCGCGUAGGAUUAGCUAGUUGGUGGGGUAAAGGCCUACCAAGGCUACGAUCCUUAGCUGGUCUGAGAGGAUGAUCAGCCACACUGGGACUGAGACACGGCCCAGACUCCUACGGGAGGCAGCAGUGGGGAAUAUUGGACAAUGGGCGAAAGCCUGAUCCAGCAAUGCCGCGUGAGUGAAGAAGGCCUUCGGGUUGUAAAGCUCUUUUACCCGGGAAGAUAAUGACUGUACCGGGAGAAUAAGCCCGGCUAACUCCGUGCCAGCAGCCGC
RNAcentral lists this ribosomal RNA (445 nucleotides) under uncultured bacterium. Its description in RNAcentral is "SSU rRNA". It matches the Rfam family "Bacterial small subunit ribosomal RNA", at positions 26 to 518 of the family's 1533-position model. The record is from RNAcentral.